Long non-coding RNA from Lagenorhynchus albirostris (white-beaked dolphin), 911 nucleotides. RefSeq lists it as uncharacterized. The record is from RefSeq and is a predicted model, not a curated record. Lineage: Eukaryota; Metazoa; Chordata; Mammalia; Artiodactyla; Delphinidae. The transcript is spliced from 2 exons.
CUGCAUAUUUUAGUGAAAGAUAAUCAAAGAAAAUACUAUACGGCAAAAGCCAAGUGCUAUAAGCUUUUAACCCGGAGAAACAUGUAUUAUGAUGUGUAAUAAGAAAAGACGAGUUAUCGCCAUGGAACAAGGAACGUUUUUUCAGGAGGCAUGACUUACAUCCUACACAUUCAAUAGUACCUCUAAACCCCAGACCUCGAAGCAGACAUGUGCACAGCCCUGCAGAAGUGAAAACUCCUGUGUGCUGGCUUCUUCAUGAUCAGAUUUCAUUCAUUCUUGCCCAACCGGUGAAUCUCCCAAGAUCUCAAAAGUAGAAAUGAGACCUGGGCAGACAGAAGGGACUCUGGUUUAGCCACUCUGGCCUCAAACUAUUUGUUAAGAUUUGAAGGUCUCAACACGGCUCAGUGGGUCAUUAGGUGCCAUCUCAGGGAUAGCCCGGUUUCUAAACACCCUUAGAGCUUGAAACCCAAAUGAAACCCAGAUGAGCACCGUACUGGUGACAGAGCACAACGGUAUCAUAAACUUCUAUCAGCAAUCUAAAUUUUUGUAAGGAAAGAAAUUAUGACAUCAUUUGAUAUCAGUUUGUUUUGGUCAUACGCACAUACACACACAUCAAAUUAGAGUAGGUUUGGGUAUAUAAUGACAUAGUGCAUGCACAUGGUACAGAAUUCAAGAAGCGCUAGGGGUCAUAUGGUGAAAAGGUCCUCUGUCCCUCCCCUGUCCUCUAGGCACCCGUUCCCUUCCCCAGAGGCUAUCACUGUUAUCAAUGACUCUGUAUCCUUCCAGAGGUUUUCUAGGACACGUUUUUUUAACCACAGUAAAUCUGUUCUGUUUGUUAAGUUAGGCAUUAUUAAUUCAAUGUCUGCUUGCUCUUUUAUUAAUUAAUUCAAUAAAUAAUUAUUGGGUGGCUA